CCUACGGGAGGCAGCAGUAGGGCAUUUUCGUCAAUGGGCGCAAGCCUGAACGAGCAAUGCCGCGUGAACGAGGAAGGUCUUCGGAUCGUAAAGUUCUCUUGAAGGGGAGAAAGAGCGGAGAGAGGAAAUGGUCUCCGAUUGAUAUUACCCUUCGAGGAAGUCACGGCUAACUACGUGCCAGCAGCCGCGGUAAUACGUAGGUGGCUAGCGUUAUCCGGAAUGAUUGGGCGAAAAGGGUGCGUAGGCGGCCUGCUAAGUCUGUAGUGAAAGGUACCGGCUCAACCGGUACAGGCUCUGGAAACUGGCGGGCUAGAGAGCAGGAGAGGGCGGUGGAACUCCAGGUGUAGCGGUAAAAUGCGUAGAUAUAUGGAAGAACACCAGUGGCGAAGGCGGCCGCCUGGCCUGUUACUGACGCUGAGGCACGAAAGCGUGGGGAGCAAAUAGGAUUAGAUACCCGUGUAGUU
RNAcentral lists this ribosomal RNA (464 nucleotides) under uncultured bacterium. RNAcentral's name for it is "partial 16S ribosomal RNA". It matches the Rfam family "Bacterial small subunit ribosomal RNA", at positions 338 to 795 of the family's 1533-position model. The record is from RNAcentral.